AGUGCGUUACUCCACAGAAUAGCCCACUGCGGGGAAAAAAAGGAGGAUAAACCAUCAACCGUUUGACUAACGGUGCGGCAGUGUGGAGACCUGUCGCAAUGCGGCGUCUGCCAAAGCGCGGGGCCGUGAGAUCACAGCUUGCGGAGGCACUGUGAUCAUAGUCGGAGCACAUGGCA
This 176-nucleotide non-coding RNA is filed under the name pig gut metagenome. Its description in RNAcentral is "malK-I RNA". It matches the Rfam family "malK-I RNA". The record is from RNAcentral.